GAUGAACGCUGGCGGCGUGCCUAACACAUGCAAGUCGAGCGAUUUACUUCGGUAAAGAGCGGCGGACGGGUGAGUAACGCGUGGGUAACCUGCCCUGUACACACGCAUAACAUACCGAACGGUAUGCUAAUACGAGAUAAUAUGCUUUUAUCGCAUGGUAGAAGUAACAAAGCUUUUGCGGUACAGGAUGGACCCGCGUCUGAUUAGCUAGUUGGUAAGGUAACGGCUUACCAAGGCGACGAUCAGUAGCCGACCUGAGAGGGUGAUCGGCCACAUUGGAACUGAGACACGGUCCAAACUCCUACGGGAGGCAGCAGUGGGGAAUAUUGCACAAUGGGCGAAAGCCUGAUGCAGCAACGCCGCGUGAGCGAUGAAGGCCUUCGGGUCGUAAAGCUCUGUCCUCAAAGAAGAUAAUGACGGUACUUGAGGAGGAAGCCCCGGCUAACUACGUGCCAGCCGCCGCAGUAA
Molecule: ribosomal RNA, 468 nt
Filed under: uncultured bacterium
Lineage: Bacteria
Description: partial 16S ribosomal RNA
Rfam family: Bacterial small subunit ribosomal RNA
Source: RNAcentral